This 253-nucleotide ribosomal RNA is filed under the name uncultured prokaryote. Its description in RNAcentral is "partial 16S ribosomal RNA". It matches the Rfam family "Bacterial small subunit ribosomal RNA", at positions 524 to 776 of the family's 1533-position model. The record is from RNAcentral.
GACAGAGGGUGCAAACGUUGUUCGGAAUUACUGGGCGUAAAGCGUGUGUAGGCGGCUUUGCAAGUCGGGUGUGAAAGCCCCAGGCUCAACCUGGGAAGUGCACUCGAUACUGCAAAGCUAGAGUGUCGGAGAGGUUGGUGGAAUUCUCGGUGUAGAGGUGAAAUUCGUAGAUAUCGAGAGGAACACCGGUGGCGAAGGCGAGUCCCUGGACAACUCCUGACACUGAGGCACGAAAGCUAGGGGAGCAAACAGG